This is a long non-coding RNA of Trifolium pratense (red clover), 1005 nucleotides long. RefSeq lists it as uncharacterized. The record is from RefSeq and is a predicted model, not a curated record. The transcript has 2 exons. Lineage: Eukaryota; Viridiplantae; Streptophyta; Magnoliopsida; Fabales; Fabaceae.
GCAACCUGCUUGCUGAAGGUCAAGCUCUUAACUUUUCUUCCAUUCUACUAUUACGCUAACACUCUAUAUUCUGUUUGUUUUAUUCUUUUAAGUAACUCAUCUCUUUCAUUCAUUCUAAAAACCUUUAGACACUUGUAUUUUCAAUAACUUCCAAGAUCUUUAAUGUAGCUAUAGUCCUAUUACUUAUGAAGGAAACAGAGUGCUUAUUAUGCAAUUCUUCUAAAUUCUAGCUUAAGCCAACUCUAUGAAACUAAGAGUCUUUUUCCAAUAUUUCUAAAAACAGAGCACUUACUCAAAUGUUUUAGUUAACAGGUUGUCUAUUUUCACUUGAUUUUAUAUUAGCAAUGAACUCAUGUUUAGUACCCUUAUUGAUUCUUUAAGUGAUCACAAGUAAAGUGUAAUCAUGUAACAAGUUGGUAACAAGAUACUUCUAAACUUUCGAUUCAUAUGAUGAGUUGAAAGUCUUUGUUUCAUUUACUAUGAAACCAUAUACACGUAUGAGAAUAAGAAGUAGAUGUCAUGCAAUUUUCUUAAUUAUGUUAGGUUCCUGUUCUUGCAUAAUUUCUUUUAAUACAUUAGUAUUGUUAGAAUUUAAUUAUAAUUCUAGUUAGUUAAGAAAUAGUUGUUUUGAUGAGUUAAUAGGUGUCCUAGAUGAAGGUGAUUGCUCAAGUUAUUUUUGAAAGCUUCGAGUUAGUGCAGGAUACUAAGACCUCAAGUUGAAGUUCAUUGAAAAAAGAAAAAUGGCAUUGUGAGAGACAUUAAAAUAAAGAACGUUAGUGCUGAUUGGUGGUCUAGUUUUAUUUUUGGAGUCUGAAGAGAAUGAUCUCUUUGAUAUGUAUUGAUGACGUCAUCGGAGUACUCUCUAGGUGACAUGUAUCUUUAGUGUUUGACCAGUUUGUGAUCAUUUGUGGGUUAGAGUCUUUUGUAGGAAUUUAUUUUUUUAUCAUUUUAAAUUGAAAAAUUGUACGAUACUUAUGUGAAAUGGAAAUGUUUUAGAUUUGAAAA